GCAAAGUCUGGCCUGCCCACUGAUAAUUUUUUAAAGGGCCGCGGUAUUUUGACCGUGCGAAGGUAGCAUAAUCAAUAGUCUUUUAAUUGGAGGCUUGAAUGAAUGGUUGGACGAGAAGUAGACUGUCUUUAUUAUAAAUAUUGAAUUUUACUUUUAAGUGAAAAGGCUUAAAUGGAUUUAAGGGACGAAAAGACCCUAUAAAACUUAAUAGGUUUCUUUGUUUUUAAAAUUGGAGUAUAAUGAAACUUUAAAUUAAUCUUAUUUGGUUGGGGCGACUAAGAUAAAAUAGGUAACUGUUUUAAAAUUAAAAUAAUUAUAAUUUGUUAUUUGAUCCUCUAGUAGGGAUUAUAAGAGAAAGUUACUUUAGGGAUAACAGCGUGAUUUUUUUUGAGAGUUCUUAUCAACAAAAGUAGUUGCGACCUCGAUGUUGAAUUAAAAUUUCUUUUAAAUGCAGAAGUUUAAAGAGUAGGUCUGUUCGACCUU
RNAcentral lists this ribosomal RNA (483 nucleotides) under Tozeuma lanceolatum. RNAcentral's name for it is "partial 16S ribosomal RNA". It matches the Rfam family "Bacterial large subunit ribosomal RNA", at positions 1847 to 2588 of the family's 2925-position model. The record is from RNAcentral. Lineage: Eukaryota; Metazoa; Arthropoda; Malacostraca; Decapoda; Hippolytidae.